RNAcentral lists this ribosomal RNA (305 nucleotides) under uncultured bacterium. RNAcentral's name for it is "bacterial SSU rRNA". It matches the Rfam family "Bacterial small subunit ribosomal RNA", at positions 335 to 657 of the family's 1533-position model. The record is from RNAcentral.
GUUCCUACGGGGGGCAGCAGUGGGGAAUAUUGCACAAUGGGGGAAACCCUGAUGCAGCGACGCCGCGUGAGUGAAGAAGUAUUUCGGUAUGUAAAGCUCUAUCAGCAGGGAAGAAAAUGACGGUACCUGACUAAGAAGCCCCGGCUAACUACGUGCCAGCAGCCGCGGUAAUACGUAGGGGGCAAGCGUUAUCCGGAUUUACUGGGUGUAAAGGGAGCGUAGACGGCAGAGUAAGUCUGAUGUGAAAUACCGGGGCUCAACUUCGGGACUGCAUUGGAAACUGUCAGACUGGAGUGUCGGAGAGG